UGAAACCCUAGCCACUUGACCCCUACCCAGCGCCGUUCUUUCCCCCAAGGUUUGAAACGCGUUGCCAGCCAAAACCCCUCCAACGGAAAUAGAAACAGAAAGGGAAGUGGGGUGAGGGAUACACGGAGAAGGAAGGAAGGAAGAGGGGAGGGAGGAGCGUCGCCGGUGCGUCAGGCCUCACCACCGCCGUCGCGCCGCCUUGGAGUCCGCAGUCAGAGUCGUGUCGCGCAGAGAAGAGGAGAAGAGGAACUCAUCGCGUCGCCGCCACCCACGGAGCUGCGAGCUGCGCCCAGUUGCCGUCGGGGUCACCGCGCCAUCGUCCUUGCCAGCUCCGAACGAGAAGCACGAUGGAGCUCCGCUUUUGCUUCCCUGGUUCGCCGUGAGUGAGCAUCGUGGGAGAGAGGACGACGCGAGUUGGAGGCUCGGUUGCUGCUGUGCUAUGGAGCAGACUGAACCGCGCCGCGCUGUUGGGGUUCUCACUGUCGCCGGAAAAGGAUUCAGGCCGCCGCAGGUGUCGUGGUCGGAAGAGAAAGCUGUGCCCCUGUGUUUUGACCGCCUGGAGUGGUUCUGUCACUUCCGGAAUCACCGCCGGAGCUCCGGGCUGAGCCUCUGCUGCUUGAGACCCUGCUGUCGUCGCCGGAAAAGGCUGUCGAUCGCCGCUGCUGCUAGGGGCUGACUGCUGGGUUGCCGCCGAACCGGUUCGGAGACCGCCACUGUUUCGGUUCAACCGUUCCUUCUUCGGUUCAGUAAGCAUUUUGAUUUGAAAGCCCUUUAGUUACUGUCCUGUUAUCAUACGCUGAGGUUUGUGGCAUUAAUCGCUAUACGAUUGAGUUCUGGUUGUUGUAUGUUGCAAUUAGUGUUGCUAUGGUUAUUGUGAAUGUGGCUGGGAGUUGAGGUUUUGGUUGCCGUCAGUUCGGGUUGAGGCAGAAAUGGGCUUGAUGAGGCGUUUGGAUUAUAGAAUUACGUUUUGAGGAUAUGGGCGCAGAAGUUACGAAGAGCUUAUUUAAUUGUUGUUGUGAUGCUCUGUAUUGUUUUAGUUAUGAUUUACUGCACCAUCG
Non-coding RNA from Arachis ipaensis, 1058 nucleotides. NCBI's taxonomy places the organism in Eukaryota, Viridiplantae, Streptophyta, Magnoliopsida, Fabales, Fabaceae. The record is from RefSeq and is a predicted model, not a curated record.